RNAcentral lists this ribosomal RNA (500 nucleotides) under uncultured bacterium. Its description in RNAcentral is "partial 16S ribosomal RNA". It matches the Rfam family "Bacterial small subunit ribosomal RNA", at positions 30 to 523 of the family's 1533-position model. The record is from RNAcentral.
AUUGAACGCUGGCGGAAUGCUUUACACAUGCAAGUCGAACGGCAGCACGGACUUCGGUCUGGUGGCGAGUGGCGAACGGGUGAGUAAUGGAUCGGAACGUGCCCAGCCGUGGGGGAUAACGUAGUGAAAUUUACGCUAAUACCGCAUACGAUCUAUGGAUGAAAGCGGGGGAUCGCAAGACCCCGCGCGUUUGGAGCGGCCGAUAUCAGAUUAGGUAGUUGGUGGGGUAAAGGCCCACAAAGCCAACGAUCUGUAGCUGGUCUGAGAGGACGACCAGCCACACUGGAACUGAGACACGGUCCAGACUCCUACGGGAGGCAGCAGUGGGGAAUUUUGGACAAUGGGCGAAAGCCUGAUCCAGCCAUUCCGCGUGCAGGAUGAAGGCCCUCGGGUUGUAAACUGCUUUUGUACAGAACGAAAAGGUUUCUACUAAUACUAGGAGCUCAUGACGGUACUGUAAGAAUAAGCACCGGCUAACUACGUGCCAGCCGCCGCAGUAA